This 252-nucleotide unclassified non-coding RNA is filed under the name uncultured fungus. RNAcentral describes it as "partial contains small subunit ribosomal RNA, internal transcribed spacer 1, and 5.8S ribosomal RNA". The stretch from base 1 to 73 matches the Rfam family "Eukaryotic small subunit ribosomal RNA", at positions 1759 to 1831 of the family's 1831-position model. The record is from RNAcentral. Lineage: Eukaryota; Fungi.
GCAAACUUGGUCAUUUAGAGGAAGUAAAAGUCGUAACAAGGUUUCCGUAGGUGAACCUGCGGAAGGAUCAUUAACGAGAAAACGGUGCUCGCACCGCCUCUCAAACCACUGCGUACCAAAUCUUGUCUCUUGCGGGCAGGCCUGCCCUCCCGCGAGGAACCAAAACAGUCGUCUGAUGCUGUCAGAAACCACAUAAAAAAAACAACUUUCAACAAUGGAUCUCUUGGCUCCGGCAUCGAUGAAGAACGCAGC